Molecule: long non-coding RNA, 296 nt
Filed under: Takifugu rubripes (torafugu)
Lineage: Eukaryota; Metazoa; Chordata; Actinopteri; Tetraodontiformes; Tetraodontidae
Description: lncRNA (ENSTRUG00000029827.1)
Source: RNAcentral
UGGAAAACAGCGUUUUAAGCGAGUCCAUACCCUGGCUGACUUGUGAAAUACCUACAUUCUUGAAGCCUUUGUUUUUUACCUCAACUACCUGUCCUCUGGAAAUCAGAUCCGUGUCACGUGAGCGUCGGCCAGAGGUGACAACUCAAACGAGGGUCAUCCCCAGCGCAGAUAAUUCAGCGGGAAGGUGAGUCCGAUCUGUGUCUUUUGCUCGAUUCAUUUAUAUGCAAUAAAAAAGAGUAAUUGUCGGCUGAGGGAAAUGUUGAAUGAAAGACGGUUCCCGACAUUAAAUGGCGCUG